AGGUAACUUCUCUCUUUCCUCUUAGAAGCCAGGUAUCAGUAGAUAACCUGGAACACCAGAAGAGAGGCAGCAACUCAGAUCACACAGCAGGGUUCCUUUUGAGUUGGGGCUCUUGGAAAAAAAGUAUUGAUCUCAAGAUUGUGUUUAAGAACUUGGAUUCUGGAAACAGAGUAUCUGGCUCGACACUGACUCUCUGACAUUAGGUUAGUUAGCAAACAUCCUGACCAGUUGCAUCUGUGAAUGACUGCAGGGAGGAAGAAAUUAACACAUCCCCUCUAGGGAGCUGAUGGGAGCCAGGAGAUGUUCGACUACUCCCUUCUCUUUUAGUAUAAGAGAAACCUAAAUUCUAACUCAGGCAAGCUGGUUCUUUGUGGGGAUGAGCCCAUCAUCUUGGCUUGCUGACUUUUCCAAAUAAAGUCGUUAUUCCUUGCCCCAAACUUGUCUCUUGAUUACUGGCCUGUCCUGUGGUGACCCAGUAACAGGAGGAUGUAUCAUCCACUGCCUAAUUGUGGUUUGACCCCUUCUUACAAACAUGGAGUUUGGGGUCUGCAUUUUGUCAUAGAAGCACAAGGUCCUUUCUGGGGCUUUCCCUCAACUAGCUUUCCCUCAAGCCCAGGGGUCUGCUGAUAUCUUUCACUACCCUUUCUUGGUUGUGGUUUUACAAAGAGGAAGUCUUUGGAGCUAGUCUUGGUUGAAUUCAAAUACUAUCCUCAUCUCUAAUUAGCUGUGUGAUCUUAGGCAAGUUAUUUUACCUCUCUGAACCUUGGGUUCACAUGUGAAAUGGCGUUAAUAAAACUUUCCUAAAAAGGUUGUUAUGAGAAACAAUAAAGGAUUCUGGAUGAUACCUGGCCCAGUUCUUAGGACAAAACAGGUACUUGGUAGCCAGUAUUCCAUGCCUUUCUACUGCCUGCUCUCUGCUCUGCCCCAGGGAGCAAGUAUUCUUUGUUCUAAUACAUAACAGGCAUGUGGUGGUAGGGGCUGGAGGCUGGACCUUGACUUUGCUCUGACCCAGAAGACCU
This is a long non-coding RNA of Bos taurus (domestic cattle), 1019 nucleotides long. Lineage: Eukaryota; Metazoa; Chordata; Mammalia; Artiodactyla; Bovidae. The record is from Ensembl.